RNAcentral lists this ribosomal RNA (253 nucleotides) under uncultured bacterium. Its description in RNAcentral is "partial 16S ribosomal RNA". It matches the Rfam family "Bacterial small subunit ribosomal RNA", at positions 524 to 776 of the family's 1533-position model. The record is from RNAcentral.
UACGUAGGGGGCAAGCGUUGUCCGGAAUUAUUGGGCGUAAAGCGCGUGUAGGCGGUCCGGUAAGUCGGCUGUGAAAGUCCAGGGCUCAACCCUGGGAUGCCGGUCGAUACUGCCGGACUAGAGUUCGGAAGAGGCGAGUGGAAUUCCCGGUGUAGCGGUGAAAUGCGUAGAGCUCGGGAAGAACAUCGGUGGCGAAAGCGCUCUGCUGGACUGCAACUGACACUCAGGGACGAAAGCUAGGGGAGCGAAUGGG